AUACGGAGGGUCCAAGCGUUAUCCGGAAUCAUUGGGUUUAAAGGGUCCGCAGGGGGUCAAUUAAGUCAGAGGUGAAAGCCCAUCGCUCAACGAUGGAACUGCCUUUGAUACUGGUUGACUUGAGUUAUACGGAAGUAGAUAGAAUAAGUAGUGUAGCGGUGAAAUGCAUAGAUAUUACUUAGAAUACCGAUUGCGAAGGCAGUCUACUACGUAUAUACUGACGCUGAGGGACGAAAGCGUGGGGAGCGAACAGGAUUAGAUACCCUAGUAGUCC
This 274-nucleotide ribosomal RNA is filed under the name uncultured bacterium. RNAcentral describes it as "partial 16S ribosomal RNA". It matches the Rfam family "Bacterial small subunit ribosomal RNA", at positions 523 to 796 of the family's 1533-position model. The record is from RNAcentral.